GCAUAUGUGCAUCAGGAUUGGGCCCACCCACCCCUACUGCUUAGAGACUUACAUUCAUAUUAUAUGAAAAGCUGUUUUUUAGUACUUAUGUCCUGUUAAGUUCAUAAAAUUAAGUUAAAAUUAAGUUCAUAAAAUGAGUUUAAAGGGCCAGGCAACAUACAUAGAGCAAGUCUGUCCCUGAACCUUACCCAAAGAAGGAAAACUAUUUCUAGUAUAUUUGGGGUUUUCUGUUUAGUUUGAUUAUGACAACUUUGGAGUAAGAAGACAUUUUUAAAACUCUCAUCUUCAUAUUAGGUAUGCUGUUGCCUUCCUUUGGCAUAAAUCACACUAAUGUUUGGAUUUACAUACAAGUCUCUCUUGCUUUACGUAAACACAU
RNAcentral lists this long non-coding RNA (376 nucleotides) under Bos taurus (domestic cattle). RNAcentral's name for it is "long non-coding RNA NONBTAT023333". Lineage: Eukaryota; Metazoa; Chordata; Mammalia; Artiodactyla; Bovidae. The record is from RNAcentral.